ACGAACGCUGGCGGCAUGCCUCACACCUGCAAGUCGCACGAGACCUUCGGGUCUAGUGGCGCACGGGUGCGUAACGCGUGGGAACCUGCCCUUAGAUUCGGAAUAACUCCCCGAAAGGGGUGCUAAUACCGGAUAAUGUCUUCGGACCAAAGAUUUAUCGCCUUUGGAUGGGCCCGCGUUGGAUUAGCUAGUUGGUAGGGUAAAAGCCUACCAAGGCGACGAUCCAUAGCUGGUCUGAGAGGAUGAUCAGCCACACUGGGACUGAGACACGGCCCAGACUCCUACGGGAGGCAGCAGUGGGGAAUAUUGGACAAUGGGCGAAAGCCUGAUCCAGCAAUGCCGCGUGAGUGAUGAAGGCCUUAGGGUUGUAAAGCUCUUUUACCCGGGAUGAUAAUGACAGUACCGGGAGAAUAAGCUCCGGCUAACUCCGUG
RNAcentral lists this ribosomal RNA (432 nucleotides) under uncultured bacterium. Its description in RNAcentral is "partial 16S ribosomal RNA". It matches the Rfam family "Bacterial small subunit ribosomal RNA", at positions 29 to 507 of the family's 1533-position model. The record is from RNAcentral.